This 229-nucleotide ribosomal RNA is filed under the name uncultured bacterium. Its description in RNAcentral is "partial 16S ribosomal RNA". It matches the Rfam family "Bacterial small subunit ribosomal RNA", at positions 524 to 746 of the family's 1533-position model. The record is from RNAcentral.
UACGUAGGGUGCAGGCGUUAAUCGGAAUUACUGGGUGUAAAGCGUGCGCAGGCGGUUUGCUAAGACAGGUGUGAAAUCCCCGGGCUUAACCUGGGAACUGCGCUUGUAACUGGCAAGCUAGAGUGUGGCAGAGGGGGGUGGAAGUUCCGACGUGUAGGCAGUGAAAUGCGUAGAGAGUGUGGAGGAACACCGAUGGCGAAGGCAGCCCCCUGGGUUAACACCUGGACGC